Molecule: ribosomal RNA, 253 nt
Filed under: uncultured bacterium
Lineage: Bacteria
Description: partial 16S ribosomal RNA
Rfam family: Bacterial small subunit ribosomal RNA
Source: RNAcentral
UACGUAGGAUGCAAGCGUUGUCCGGAAUUAUUGGGCGUAAAGAGCGCGCAGGCGAUAACUCAAGUCAGAUGUGAAAUAUCCGGGCUUAACCCGGAGGGGUCAUUUGAAACUGAGUAACUAGAGUACAGCAGAGGAUAGCGGAAUUCCCGGUGUAGUGGUGAAAUGCGUAGAUAUCGGGAGGAACACCAGUGGCGAAGGCGGCUAUCUGGGCUGAAACUGACGCUGAGGCGCGAAGGCUAGGGGAGCAAACAGG